Long non-coding RNA from Eurytemora carolleeae, 341 nucleotides. RefSeq lists it as uncharacterized. Lineage: Eukaryota; Metazoa; Arthropoda; Copepoda; Calanoida; Temoridae. The record is from RefSeq and is a predicted model, not a curated record. The transcript has 3 exons.
UCAAAAUUCAUGAGUUAAAUAUGGUUUCAACGGGGACAAUUUUGUAUUCAAUUAAUUACUCAGAGGUUGCUUAAAGUUAAAAUGUAAAAAUAGGAAAGUACAAGGAUCAGCUACAUGUCUUGAUGUAUAUCUAGGGUUUUGCUCUCAUGUUGAUUCAGGAAAUCAAUGUUUGAUCAUGAAUAAUGGAAAUGAAAUUAAAAAUUUUACAGUUUCAUUAAUUUCAACAAACUGUUUGAUUAUUAUCUCAAAGGAGAUAACUGAAAUAGAUGCAUUCUUGAAGCUUGGUUAUUCUCCUUCCCUUGUUAUUAUUAAUCAAGAGGAUGAAUCUAGCCAUCUAAACC